CUUAAUUGACUUGGUAACGCAGCUAACGCGUGAAGUAGACCGCCUGGGGAGUACGGUCGCAAGAUUAAAACUCAAAGGAAUUGACGGGGACCCGCACAAGCGGGGGAUGAUGUGGAUUAAUUCGAUGCAACGGAAAAACCUUACCUACCCUUGACAUGGAUUGAAUCCCGAAGAGAUUUGGGAGUGCUCGAAAGAGAACCAUCACACAGGUGCUGCAUGGCUGUCGUCAGCUCGUGUCGUGAGAUGUUGGGUUAAGUCCCGCAACGAGCGCAACCCUUGUCAUUAGUUGCUACGAAAGGGCACUCUAAUGAGACUGCCGGUGACAAACCGGAGGAAGGUGGGGAUGACGUCAAGUCCUCAUGGCCCUUAUGGGUAGGGCUUCACACGUCAUACAAUGGUACAUACAGAGGGCCGCCAACCCGCGAGGGAAGCUAAUCCCAGAAAGUGUAUCGUAGUCCGGAUUGGAGUCUGCAACUCGACUCCAUGAAGUUGGAAUCGCUAGUAAUCGCGGAUCAGCAUGUCGCGGUGAAUACGUUCCCGGGUCUUGUACACACCGCCCGUCACACCAUGGAGCGGGUUUUACCAGAAGUGGGUAGCCUAACCG
RNAcentral lists this ribosomal RNA (604 nucleotides) under Herbaspirillum sp. DJM4E2. RNAcentral's name for it is "bacterial SSU rRNA". It matches the Rfam family "Bacterial small subunit ribosomal RNA", at positions 830 to 1441 of the family's 1533-position model. Lineage: Bacteria; Pseudomonadati; Pseudomonadota; Betaproteobacteria; Burkholderiales; Oxalobacteraceae. The record is from RNAcentral.